Long non-coding RNA from Pieris brassicae (large cabbage white), 730 nucleotides. RefSeq lists it as uncharacterized. The transcript is spliced from 3 exons. Lineage: Eukaryota; Metazoa; Arthropoda; Insecta; Lepidoptera; Pieridae. The record is from RefSeq and is a predicted model, not a curated record.
ACUAAACGGCUCCAAUCUUUCCUCCAACUAUGAUUAUGUUCCUUUGGAGGAGAGACUCUUGGGCCGUGGGGUUCAAGGCUCUAAUUAAAGGUUGAAGUUGGUGCCUGGUAGAUAGUACUGAUAGCCCCAGUGGAGUUAGUGCUUUCCUAAAUCAACGAAUAGGUAUCGCAAUCCAGCGAAAUGCUGGCAAUAUUAAAGAUACCGAUUCGUUGCCGGGAAUAUUAUAAUAAUAUUGAAAUCGGCAAAACGGCUAUGAUCAAUGUAGUUAGGAAGAUGGCAACUUUCAAACGGUGGGCAUAUGGCAUGCAUGGACAAAACCUGAUGGACCUGGAGGGCUCUUAUAUAGAGAUGUUGUUCUGCAAGAGACAGCGUGGCCAUUGAACGAUGAUAUUCUUAUCUAUAUUGGUUGUGAUUGGUUGAUUUAUUGGACGUGUUGAAUGAAUCUAAAGGAAACCAAAUGGACCUGAAAAAUGGCUUAUGAUAGUUAAAAUCUACGUUUUACUUGCCGUUCUAUGACUUUUUGGAAGAAGAGAGUACAAUCACAAAUCCAAAGGAUUUAAUUGGAAUCACAAAGGUAGAUCAUGGCCACCAAUCCUAGUAUCCUUGGCAACGGCGUCAUAAGUCAUUUAGGCCACGUCAACCCUACAGCUAAACUGCUGCAGUAUUGACGUUGCCUGCGGCUCAGUAUAUAGCCAAAGACAGGACAGUGAUGACUUAAGAAAUAAAUCAU